CCUACGGGUGGCAGCAGUAGGGAAUCUUCGGCAAUGGGGGCAACCCUGACCGAGCAACGCCGCGUGAGUGAAGAAGGUUUUCGGAUCGUAAAACUCUGUUGUUAGAGAAGAACAAGGAUGAGAGUAAAAUGUUCAUCCCUUGACGGUAUCUAACCAGAAAGCCACGGCUAACUACGUGCCAGCAGCCGCGGUAAUACGUAGGUCCCGAGCGUUGUCCGGAUUUAUUGGGCGUAAAGCGAGCGCAGGCGGUUUAAUAAGUCUGAAGUUAAAGGCAGUGGCUUAACCAUUGUUCGCUUUGGAAACUGUUAAACUUGAGUGCAGAAGGGGAGAGUGGAAUUCCAUGUGUAGCGGUGAAAUGCGUAGAUAUAUGGAGGAACACCGGUGGCGAAAGCGGCUCUCUGGUCUGUAACUGACGCUGAGGCUCGAAAGCGUGGGGA
Molecule: ribosomal RNA, 437 nt
Filed under: uncultured bacterium
Lineage: Bacteria
Description: bacterial SSU rRNA
Rfam family: Bacterial small subunit ribosomal RNA
Source: RNAcentral